RNAcentral lists this ribosomal RNA (442 nucleotides) under bacterium. RNAcentral's name for it is "bacterial SSU rRNA". It matches the Rfam family "Bacterial small subunit ribosomal RNA", at positions 357 to 789 of the family's 1533-position model. The record is from RNAcentral.
UGGGAUUGGGGCAAAUGGGGCCGAAGGCCCUGGUCCAGCCUGCCGCGUGUGUGAAGAAGGUCUUCGGAUUGUAAAGCACUUUAAGUUGGGAGGAAGGGCAGUAAAUUAAUACUUUGCUGUUUUGACGUUACCGACAGAAUAAGCACCGGCUAACUCUGUGCCAGCAGCCGCGGUAAUACAGAGGGUGCAAGCGUUAAUCGGAAUUACUGGGCGUAAAGCGCGCGUAGGUGGUUCGUUAAGUUGGAUGUGAAAUCCCCGGGCUCAACCUGGGAACUGCAUUCAAAACUGACGAGCUAGAGUAUGGUAGAGGGUGGUGGAAUUUCCUGUGUAGCGGUGAAAUGCGUAGAUAUAGGAAGGAACACCAGCGGCGAAGGCGACCACCUGGCCUGAUACUGACACUGAGGUGCGAAAGCCUGCGGAGCAAACAGGAUUAGAUUCCCUG